GAAGGGGGCAAGGGGGCGGAGGGGCGAUCUUCCUAGUACUCCUCUGUCUGUUGAUCAACAGUUCUGGGUCCUGAACACGGCCUCCCUGGAACACAGUGGCUUGCAGGCCCCCUGGGGCAUAAAGUUUGAAUUGCUUGUCAAGCUCCUGGAGUCAGUAGGUCACGUUUUGCAAUUUCUGGAAUAACAGCUUUCAUCAAGCGUUAGUCACUGGAGCCUGCCAACUAAGGCUCCAGUCUUUAACUCUUGAGUUCCCUGAUCAACAAGAGAAGAAAGGCCAGGACCUUUGCAGCUCUGGAUUCCUUCCUUGGUGAAAGGGAAAAGCACGCUCUACGUGUCGGUGGAUGCGUAUCACGUAAGUGAAAAGGGCAAGGACUUUAGGAAAAGGCCUCUGACGAGGGUGGCCGGCAGGGAGAAAGGGAAUGCAGGCAAAACCCCUGUUUGAAUAGUGCUUCUGUCAUUUUUUUAAGCCAUAAAAACACACACGGUUUGCCUCCUUCCAGUCCUUUUUAUCAGUGGGUCCUGAAAAUGGUCAACUCCCCAACUUAUCAACGAGCCCCUACGAAUAGCUUCUAGAGCAAGGACUUCCUGCUUGCUCCCCUUCUUCAGGGUUUCCCCAACUGCGGGACCCCCAGGGGCAGAGUCCGCCAAUUGCUCCACAGUCACUGUGCCGCCCAAACCUGCCGUGGUCCGCGUUCCCCCAACUCCUGCAGCCGGGUUAUUGUGACCCCAAACAAUCGCUCCUGCUGUGUCUUCAAACUCAAGCGCAAAGCUACUCUCCCUCCAUAGUUCUACUCCGGAAAAUUCUGCCCCCAAAUUCUGUUCCCCAGCCCGAACAGCCACAGGCAACCGCAGUUGCCAAAUUCCAAACAUUCCCCUAGCAGGGUCUCCCAGCUUUCAUUCCUUCUUGCCUCACCACCCCGCCAGGGGCUGGGGGGGGGGGGGGCGGGGGUCCCGCAAGACUGCUCGGGCCCUGGCUGGUGUGAGUCCCCGCCUGUGAACCGAGGGUCGCGGGUUGAUCCCCAAUCAGGGCGCAUGCCAGGUUCCAGGUUGGGGCGUGCGAGAAGCAACGGAUUGAUGUAUCUCUCACACCUCGAUGUUUCUCUGCCUGUUACUCCCUCCCUUCCACUGUCUCUAAAAAUUAAAAAAACAAAAACAAAAACUGCUUGGUUACGCCCCUGCCAGUCAGCGAUUGUCUCACACCCCCGUGGCUGCCAAUCCACAGCAGCCAUGCAGUCCCACCUCCUCACCUGGAGGGGACAUUCCCCCGACUGGGCACAGCCCCAGGGGGGUGGGGCAAGACCAGAGUCAGCCCUCCAAAGCAGGGGAGACCGAGGCCCCCCAGCUUCCUACCCGCCCCUUUUCCUCCUACCCCAAACCCAGAGGUCCGGACUGCCAGCUCUUCCUUUCUCUCAGGAGUCUCCAUCCCCAGCCUCCCUUGGCCUCCGAACUUUUAGUGCCGGCCACCCUCCUACUCCCCUAAGGGCGGAGAAAAUACUGGAGGCCCUUGGGCUUCAUCUCCCGCGUUAUCUCCUAAUUAGAGCUUAAUUGACUCUCCCCUGCGAACCCUUUAACUGGGUCACUGGUGAAGCCAACCUGCACAACUCUUCCCUGGAGCCCCCAGCAAGAAGCUCCUGCUGCAAGCCCAGCUCCGCACCCCCAGUCAUGAAUAGUUCAAAACCGGUGCAGAAGGUGGCUUCGGAGGCCAGAAACACAGCGGCAGCGGCCACCUCGGCUGGAUUGCCCAUGCGGCCCAGAGGCUGGAAAGAGACCAGAGAAAGGGGAAGGGAGAAAAGGUGAGAAACAUCAACGUGUGAGAGAAACAUCUAUCAGUUGCCUCUCACAUGCCCCCAACCCAGGAGCUGGCCCACAACCCAGGUAUGUGCCUUGACUGGGAAUCAAACCGGCCACCUUUUGGUUUCCCGGACAAUGUCCAAGCCUCUGGGCCACACCAGCCAGGGCUGGGCCUUACUUCUCGGGAGACACUUGGUGCCUAACAACACGUCACAGGUUUUUUUUUUGUUUGUUUGUUUGUUUGUUUUUUAAAUAAUAUUUAUUUAUCUUUAGAAGGGAAGGAGAGAGGGAGAGAAAUAUCAAUGUAUGGUUGCCUUUCUGGUGUACCCUCUGCUGGGAACUGGUCCCUGCUGGGAACUGGCCUGCAACCCAGGCAUGUGCCCUGACUAGGAAUUGAACUGGCAACCCUUUGCUUCACAGGCCCGUGCUCAAUCCACUGAGCUACACCAGCCAGGGCACGUCACAGGUUUUUAUGCCUCAGGUCGGAGGCCCCUAGGGGGCCA
Molecule: long non-coding RNA, 2294 nt
Organism: Artibeus jamaicensis (Jamaican fruit-eating bat)
Lineage: Eukaryota; Metazoa; Chordata; Mammalia; Chiroptera; Phyllostomidae
Exons: 3
Source: RefSeq, a predicted model, not a curated record